CGGAGGUGGCAAGCGUUACUCGGAAUUAUUGGGUGUAAAGGGCAAGUAGGCGGUCUAAUAAGUGGGUGGUGAAAUACUCUGGCUCAAUCAGAGAACUGCCUUCCAAACUGUUAGACUUGAGUGUGACAGGGGGAAAUGGAAUUCUAGGUGUAAGGGUGAAAUCUGUAGAUAUCUAGAAGAACACCAGCGGCGAAGGCGAUUUCCUGGGUCACAACUGACGCUAAAUUGCGAAAGCUAGGGGAGCAAACAGAAUUAGAUACUCUGGUAGUCCUAGCCGUAAAUGAUGAGCACUAGAUGUCAGCUCCUUUAGGAGUUGGUGUCGCAGCUAACGCAUUAAGUGCUCCACCUGGGGACUACGGUCGCAAGGCUA
This 370-nucleotide ribosomal RNA is filed under the name uncultured organism. Its description in RNAcentral is "bacterial SSU rRNA". It matches the Rfam family "Bacterial small subunit ribosomal RNA", at positions 526 to 896 of the family's 1533-position model. The record is from RNAcentral.